CUAUAAAAGGUCCCGACAUGAAAAAUAAGAAUCAAUACCUUUCGAAUUUAACUGACGGCCUAAUUCAUAAUAAAACAAUUUACGAAAAAUAUAUAUGACAGACAUGAACCAACGACAACCACUGAACUACGAGCUCUUGACUUGAAACAGGUACAUAAAGAAUUUGGCAGGGUUAAAAAUGUCUGUGUGCGCUCAUUUCUCCCCAAAACUAGCACAGCACAAGACCAAACUAUAAAAAAUCAGAUGAAUGAUCGGAUCAUCAUACUAUUAUUGACGAUAUCAGACCAGGUGCGGAUCCCGCCUUUCUGCAAAAGGGGGAUCCAAACCACGGAACACACUGAAACGUCCACAAAAUAAAAAAUAAUCGGAAAAAAUGGGGUUUCAACCACCAAAACUCCCUCUCCCCGCAUACCGGAUCCGCUAAUGCAGGCUGCAUCCAUUCAAAUAAAAGCUUCAAACAUCAUUAACACUUUUAAGUGUGUAAUUUAGGUUUUAAAAAAAUGAAAAAAACAAUACCAAAUAAGUAACUGUUAAAUCGUAACAGAAAAAGGAGAGAAAAAUCAUGCCAGACAUAUAUUGUAUUGGAUUGCAGUAGUUUUAAUAAAUAUUUAUAUGACAAAAGUAUCAUGGAAAACAUAAACUGAUCAUGAAUGUGUCAGAAGAGAUAGUAGUAAGCAUUAUCUACUUAAGAGUUAUAAUUAGUCAUAUGCCACUAGAAACUAUUACAGCAAAAUGCAAUGAGUGUGUAGGAAAAAGUAAUACCUUUGACUAGCUUGCUUGCUAGCUGGACCGUGAAGUCAUAACAAGGUAAAGUAGGUUACCCUCCUUUCGGAGUAGUCUAGUUGGCCAAACGAUGAAAAGAAAAGCUCCAAGCGAUUGUACAGGAAGGCUCCGAGUGAUAUUACAGUAAACUUGCAAGCGAUUGUACAGUCAAUAAAAAUAUCCGACAUGGAGAAAAUGAAUAUAUUUAGAUUUCUACUGGGACAAUGGCUUUGAAACUUUCAGAUAGGUAAGACUAUAUAUCAGAAAAAGGUACAUGUGAAAAUUCAGGUAGCAAACAUUGAUUUUUCGAUGUUUAUUUGACAUUUUUGAUCGCUGUUGUGUGACAAUUUUGAUCGUUUUACACGGAGC
This 1131-nucleotide long non-coding RNA is filed under the name Mytilus galloprovincialis (Mediterranean mussel). The record is from RNAcentral. Lineage: Eukaryota; Metazoa; Mollusca; Bivalvia; Mytilida; Mytilidae.